GACGAACGCUGGCGGCGUGCUUAACACAUGCAAGUCGAACGGAAAGGCCCGGCGUUUGUUGGUUGCUCGAUUGGCGAACGGGUGAGCAACACGUGAGUAACCUGCCCUUGACUGUGGGAUAACUUCAGGAAACUGGGGCGAAUACCGGGUAUGAUCUCCUGCUGCAUGGUGUGGGUUGGAAAGUGUCGGCGGUGGGGGAUGGACUCGCGGCUUAUCAGCUUGUUGGUGGGGUAGUGGCUUACCAAGGCUUUGACGGGUAGCCGGCCUGAGAGGGUGGCCGGCCACAUUGGGACUGAGAUACGGACCAGACUCCUACGGGCGGCAGCAGUGGGGAGUAUUGCAGAAUGGGCGGAAGCCUGAUGUAGCAACGCCGCGUGCGGGAUGCCGGCUUUCGGGUUGUAAACCGCUUUCGCCUGUGACGAAGAGUGCGUGACGGUAAUGGGUAAAGAAGCACCGGCUAACUACGUG
This 468-nucleotide ribosomal RNA is filed under the name uncultured bacterium. Its description in RNAcentral is "partial 16S ribosomal RNA". It matches the Rfam family "Bacterial small subunit ribosomal RNA", at positions 28 to 507 of the family's 1533-position model. The record is from RNAcentral.